Phragmites australis (common reed) is the source of this 1877-nucleotide long non-coding RNA. RefSeq lists it as uncharacterized. The record is from RefSeq and is a predicted model, not a curated record. The transcript is spliced from 3 exons. Lineage: Eukaryota; Viridiplantae; Streptophyta; Magnoliopsida; Poales; Poaceae.
GCCUUCGUACGUAGCAAAGUAUCCAACUUUACCAUCCGCCAUCGUCCUGCGUCCACGCGAAAAAACCUCCCCCACGAUUCGUCAGUUCCAUCCCCCACAGGACCACAACUGGCGAACGCUCAACCUCCUCCAUUGCCCUUCGCCCGACUCCACCAUCCACUGUCAUGCUUCACCAACACAGCUUCAUCGCCGUCCUCCAUCCUCACGGCGCCGCCUCCACUGGCAUCCUCCCGACGGAUGCUGCUGCCGCCAAAAACUGAUGCCUCCUCUAAGGUCGUUGCCUACUCCAAGGCUACUAAACGAGUAAUCCUCCAAUCCCAUCUGGUGAUCUCGCAGUCCAUCUGCCCGUCGAUCUGGGCCCCGCGUGCGCCCUAGGAGGCCUCCCAGCCGGGUGCGUAGAUGCUCUCACUGCAAGCAAGGCGGAGCCGACCCAUGCCACCACGUGCCAUAGCCGGUGGUUCUCAGCCGAUGGUAGCGGAAAGAGGAGCAAUGAGGUAAGAGGUUUGAUUUUUCGUUUGGAGUUGUCGCAAGCUUGCGCUAGCUUCGGACUUGAUCCAAUAGGUUUCGUCGCUUUGCUUUAUGCAUCUGGGUGAACUAAUUUCUCCCUCUUAGAUUUUGUUUUCGUUGCCUCUCUUUAUUGAUUUCUUUUCUCAAAUCGGGUCUCUGUGUAUUCCUCUGUAGGUGGUUCGAUUUGUCAGAUUUGGGGGGGGGGGGGGGUCCGUUAUUUCUCUGUUCUAGAUAUCCAAUCGUUUUAUUUUCACGGCAUCGGGUAUCAUGCUGAUUGCCAAAUGCCAACAGGAGCGAGGACAAAGAGUUUGAACGAGUUCUUUUUCAAAUCCCCUGUGAGAAGAUUCUUGUGAGGAAGUCAGUACACCUGGAUAGGCUCCAGUUUGAAUCCACUUCUCUUAGUAAUUUGACAAGAACUGCAGGUCUUAAACUAACCAGCGUAGCAUAUGUGCCUCCAAAGUUUUUAUUUAUUACUCAGUUUUUCCCUUAUGUGUGACCACCCUGAGGGAGGCGUAUAUGAGGGGAAAGAAGGUGUCAGUGCUGGCCGACCUUAACGUGCCACUUGAUGGUGACUAGAAGAUCACCGACUACACGCAUUGGUGCCCAUCAUCAAGUUCCUCCCCGAGAAGGGCGCCAUCUGGCAGAACAGGCUUCCAUAAUGGGAGCGAUUCUACCUGCUUCUGAGCAGUGAAUAAAGUCAAUACAGGUGGCGAUUCAACAUGCAUAUUAUGUUACUUUCCCCCCCGAAUUCUGCAAGUAUUUAAUGUUGUGUACAUGCCAUGUCAUGCUUUUGGGAUAGCAAUGAAGUUUGAUAACUUGUUCCAUGUAAAGUUUCUCAAGCAGAUAUCAAAUUGCAAAGGUCUAGGAAGUACGACACAAGAAGUUUUCACAUCUCUACAACUUAUCUUAUUCAUUCAAAGAGCUGAUCAUCGUAGCCUAUGGUUUUAUGUAGACGGUCAUCUCCUUUGUUCAGGACCUACGAGAAACUUAUUUUUGUAUCAUAGAUUUGCUAAUUUUGUCUAGAUUUGUACAAGUUGUUUACAGUUUUCUUCUCAAAAUAUACCUCUAUUUUAGUAUGGGAGGCUUAUUCAUUCUUUUUUGUAAUUGCUUAAGCUUUAUCAUUCUUGAGGCAAUCGGUGCUGCAAGAGCUAUUGAUAACCUUGCUUUCUCAUCCAUGGAGCUCUUAGAUUUGUAAAAAAAACUGGUAUAAAUCUGUAGUGUUGGCAAUUGGUUGUAAGGAAUUUUAAGGGUUUUUGCAUGCUGUUUCUUAUGUGGUCGGGAAUGCUUGAGGCAUACUACUGGUACUGGUUUUAUGAUGUGUAAAAGAAUUGUUGAUUUAUACCUGGAUAUGGACAUGUGAUUUAUGCAAA